This 515-nucleotide long non-coding RNA is filed under the name Taeniopygia guttata (zebra finch). RNAcentral's name for it is "lncRNA (ENSTGUG00000020181.1)". The record is from RNAcentral. Lineage: Eukaryota; Metazoa; Chordata; Aves; Passeriformes; Estrildidae.
CGGCGGGCGGAGCGGCGCCGCCGCUGCCCCCGCACCGAGCCCGCACCGAGCCCCGGGCCUCGCUGCCCCAGGGCGGCGGCCCCCGGCCCGUCCCGCUGCCCGGCGCGGCCGAAAGUUUCCCGGCGGAAGGGGGGCAUGGGCUUCUCCCUGCCUGCAGCACCACGAGGAUCCUGCUGAGCGAGCACAGGGGGAGCACAAGGGAGCAGCUCUGGGAUGAUGCCCUGGGUGCUUCUGCAUGGCUGUGGAAUAAGGUCCAGCUGACAAGCAAGCCUGGGGAGCUGUGGAAGAAAAGUGCCCAGAGGAGAACAAGGAAUACAGUGCAGUCAGCUGGAGGUUUCAUUGGAAGGCACACACACACCCAGGGUUUAAAGGAUGAAGGGAACGUAAUUCAGCAGAUUCCUUUGGAGCAGCACUUGUUCUCCUGGCUGACAGAGGGACCAGAAAAAAUGGUAAGAAAACUCCUUUUAACUGCAAAGCUUGUCUUCAAUUCUCUCCCUCCCUAUUUUGUUUGGUUU